RNAcentral lists this ribosomal RNA (441 nucleotides) under uncultured bacterium. RNAcentral's name for it is "partial 16S ribosomal RNA". It matches the Rfam family "Bacterial small subunit ribosomal RNA", at positions 338 to 795 of the family's 1533-position model. The record is from RNAcentral.
CCUACGGGGGGCAGCAGUGGGGAAUAUUGCACAAUGGGCGAAAGCCUGAUGCAGCAACGCCGCGUGAAGGAAGACGGUUUUCGGAUUGUACACUUCUGUUCUUAGUGAAGAAUAAUGACGGUAACUAAGGAGCAAGCCACGGCUAACUACGUGCCAGCAGCCGCGGGAAUACGGAGGUGGCAAGCGUUGUCCGGAAUUACUGGGUGGAAAGGGAGCGUAGGCGGGUAGGCAAGUCAGCUGUGAAAACUACGGGCUUAACCUGUAGACUGUAGUUGAAACUGGCUUUCUUGAGUGAAGUAGAGGGUGGCGGAAUUCCGAGUGUAGCGGUGAAAUGCGUAGAUAUUCGGAAGAACACCGGUGGAGAAGGCGGCCGACUGGGCUUUAACUGACGCUGAGGCUCGAAAGUGUGGGGAGCAAACAGGAUUAGAUACCCCUGUAGUC